RNAcentral lists this microRNA precursor (104 nucleotides) under Paramuricea clavata. Lineage: Eukaryota; Metazoa; Cnidaria; Anthozoa; Malacalcyonacea; Plexauridae. The record is from RNAcentral.
UCAUGCAACAAAUGUGUGCAUGAAACGUGUGCGCUCAAAACGUCAAUUUUUGAAAAUUGACGUUUUGAGCGCACACGUUUCAUGCACACAUUUGUUGCAUGAAA